CAGCAGCCGCGGUAAUACGGAGGGUGCAAGCGUUAAUCGGAAUUACUGGGCGUAAAGCGCACGCAGGCGGUUUGUUAAGUCAGAUGUGAAAUCCCCGAGCUUAACUUGGGAACUGCAUUUGAAACUGGCAAGCUAGAGUCUUGUAGAGGGGGGUAGAAUUCCAGGUGUAGCGGUGAAAUGCGUAGAGAUCUGGAGGAAUACCGGUGGCGAAGGCGGCCCCCUGGACAAAGACUGACGCUCAGGUGCGAAAGCGUGGGGAGCAAACAGGAUUAGAUACCCCUGUAGUCCCUGUCUCUUAUAA
RNAcentral lists this ribosomal RNA (301 nucleotides) under uncultured bacterium. Its description in RNAcentral is "partial 16S ribosomal RNA". It matches the Rfam family "Bacterial small subunit ribosomal RNA", at positions 509 to 809 of the family's 1533-position model. The record is from RNAcentral.